This 510-nucleotide ribosomal RNA is filed under the name uncultured Stenotrophomonas sp. Its description in RNAcentral is "partial 16S ribosomal RNA". Lineage: Bacteria; Pseudomonadati; Pseudomonadota; Gammaproteobacteria; Lysobacterales; Lysobacteraceae. The record is from RNAcentral.
CACGAAGUUAGCCGGUGCUUAUUCUUUGGGUACCGUCAUCCCAACCGGGUAUUAGCCAGCUGGAUUUCUUUCCCAACAAAAGGGCUUUACAACCCGAAGGCCUCCUUCACCCACGCGGUAUGGCUGGAUCAGGCUUGCGCCCAUUGUCCAAUAUUCCCCACUGCUGCCUCCCGUAGGAGUCUGGACCGUGUCUCAGUUCCAGUGUGGCUGAUCAUCCUCUCAGACCAGCUACGGAUCGUCGCCUUGGUGGGCCUUUACCCCGCCAACUAGCUAAUCCGACAUCGGCUCAUUCAAUCGCGCAAGGCCCGAAGGUCCCCUGCUUUCACCCGUAGGUCGUAUGCGGUAUUAGCGUAAGUUUCCCUACGUUAUCCCCCACGACAGAGUAGAUUCCGAUGUAUUCCUCACCCGUCCGCCACUCGCCACCCAGAGAGCAAGCUCUCCUGUGCUGCCGUUCGACUUGCAUGUGUUAGGCCUACCGCCAGCGUUCACUCUGAGCCAGGAUCAAACUCU